CCUCACAUUCGUCUUCAUUAAAGAGCCGUUGACUGGGUCUCUCUGAGCAGAUGGUCAUUAAUGUGGCCACCCAAUCCACGGAGACUCUACCUGAGCACGGACAUCACCUCUGAACACCGCUGAAGACGCAGGCACUCUCUCAGAAGAGUUUAUACAUGGCUGCCGAAUCUGGUGGUAUUUCAAGUCAUCUGAUGCACGCUGAUGGAUGAAUCAGAAGAUCUAAAGCUUUAAGAAGGCAGAUCUACACAAAGAUGGACCC
This is a long non-coding RNA of Cyprinus carpio (common carp), 259 nucleotides long. The record is from Ensembl. Lineage: Eukaryota; Metazoa; Chordata; Actinopteri; Cypriniformes; Cyprinidae.